CGGGGAUUGGCUGCCUACUUUCUAGCCCCGGCCUCUGGCUGGGUCUCUGGUGUUCGCGGGCUUUUGUGUCUCGCGGAGUGCGGCGGGCGCGGUCGCAGUGGCGGCUGCUUUGCGGCGGGUUCGGGGCCCGGCCCGCCUGCGAAUGCGGGAGCCCGACCCGGGGCCUGCGGAGUCGGUCUCCGACGUGUGCGGGGCUGCAGCGGCCUGACUUACAGGCUCAGGUAUGUCCCCGUCCUGGAGGGAAAAGCGAGGCGCUCGGCCCGGAGCACGUGGCCAAUGGCGACCGGGGGUUCCCACGUGCUUGGUUCCAAGGCCCCCCAAUUGGCUGCCCCUUCGGAUAGAGGGCAUGUAAGUUCCCGGCUCCCCCACCCCCCGCAGGACAACUGCUUCCGGUGGGUUUUCCGACUUGGCCCUGGAAACCGCUGAGGUUCAGGGGGUGUUGUCGGGAGAGGAGAGCAGGGGUCGCGGAGAAGCCUGUAAAACCCCAGACCGCCCUUUCUGUGCCCUUUUAAGGUUGACGCAGUGCCUUAAGAGGCUAACACAGAAGGGUAAAGUAAGUCUCCAUAAAACCCAGGGAUGAGACUGUAAAACUCCUCUCUGGAUCCUGUCUGGAGUCACAGCGGAACCAGAGGAAAUUUUUCUUUCGGUUCAAGCACCCUUGUGAUAUUUUAACACAUCUCAGAGCACAAAUGGUGGAUUCAAACUUAACAUUGAUGGUACUUUCAGUUCAAGUGUUGGUAUUUAUCACUGAAGAAGGAACAACCUAUGAGAGUGAGACUGUAAAUUGAGAACAUCUGAAGACACUGGCUCACAAAGGUCAUAAAGCUUCUGGAGCCACACCUCACUGGGUAGAAACAACAGGUCCAGAAUACUUGAAAUUGACCCGUUUUUGGUCACCCCAUGUAGAAAAUGAAUUUAAAAUUUUGUAUGUCUUGUCUAUUGUUCGAUGUGAGCACCGUUACAUUUUUCUAGACUUAGUUUGCUAUACCCUAAGAUUAUGAAAAUACUUACUAACCAGCAUUUUCUGGCUUCUGUAAUCUUGCUUGCUUAACACAUUCCUCCCCUUCCCCCUUCCCCUUUUUUUCUCCCGCCACAAGUAACGGACAAAGCCUUCCCGCCAAAGGACAGACAAAGGACGCCCAAUCAGAGAACAACAAAUGUCCUUACUUUAAAAUCAACUAAUCAGGCCCCCCAUAAUCUGAAACCUCCCCUAUGCUAUUUGUCUCUGUCUAUAAAAACGCUGUACCAACCCUGAUCGGGGCCUCUUAGCGUCACUGGCAACGAGUGCGCGGAGGUCCAGGUUCGAACCUGCAAUAAACGACCCUUGCCGCUUG
Prionailurus viverrinus (fishing cat) is the source of this 1334-nucleotide long non-coding RNA. RefSeq lists it as uncharacterized. Lineage: Eukaryota; Metazoa; Chordata; Mammalia; Carnivora; Felidae. The transcript has 2 exons. The record is from RefSeq and is a predicted model, not a curated record.